This is a non-coding RNA of Lactuca sativa (garden lettuce), 4799 nucleotides long. The record is from RefSeq and is a predicted model, not a curated record. NCBI's taxonomy places the organism in Eukaryota, Viridiplantae, Streptophyta, Magnoliopsida, Asterales, Asteraceae.
CCUAUAAGAAAGCCAUCCAACUUUUUGGCAGCGUCGACAAUUUCCCGUGAACGCCUAGGAGUAGUGAUCGGUUUCAAGAUCUGACGACUGCUUUGCGUAGCGUCUCCGUCUGUUUUCCGUCGACCGAUCACUUCAAAAUCAGACAGCCGAUUAGGCUAAGGGAAGUGGUAACAUUUUUAACAUCUUGUCAUGUCAAAUUUUAGAGUGUCACCUCAGUUUUGACCAUUUAGCACCUAAUCUUAGCAUUUGGUAGGGAGUGAUAACACCUUAACACUUCAUUUUUUUUAUUUUCUUUUUUUAAUUUGAUUAAAUUACGUUGUAUUAAAAUAGAAACAUUUUUUGUACAUAAAUAUUAAAUAAAUUUUAUUUUUUAGCCACUAAGAAGAUAAAGUUCAAUAUAAGUUAUAUAUUACUAAUAUAUACUCCCACAAGCUCCAAUCAUAUCCUUUUUAAGAUAUAACGUAGCUAUUACUUCAUUAUCCAUAUUAAUUAAACUCCUCAAAUAAUGGGUCACACAUAGUAUAUUUUUAGUUAACUGCCAUCAUAAAUGCAAUAUGAGCUUGUAAAUACCACUCAACUGUGCUUACAUGCAUAGUAUGUGUCUUCCCACUACUUGUUACACCAUAUGUAAAUACUGUAUUUGUAGUCAUACAUUAGCCCCAACUAGUGUUUUACUCAAUCUAUUUUUUAAUUUGUACGAGGAAUAAACUCAGGCAAUUAGCGUAAUAGUGUUUUUAAAUUUGGAUAUAGUUUUACCACACCAUUUAUGCCGUCCAUAACAGCCUUUAUAACAGGUCCAUGAGCUACUUCAUACAUUUCAUGAGUCUCCGCAAAGGAUCCAAACACCCUAUAUGUUAUAUUGUAACGCUCGCAGAUUCGGACUAGACACUUUAGAGAUAAUAAGCGUUAAAAAUGACUUUUUGAUAGAAGAUUAUUUAGGAUAAAUAAUCUCAACAAAAGUUAUAGUAUAUGUGACACAGAUUUCGUACAUAUAAAGAACGCUAAAAUCAAACUUAGAAUGAAGAAGUUAUGAUUCUUCGAAGUUUCGCGAUUAAACCGACACGACUAUACGUAUCGUAAAAAGUGAAUUUUAGAUAAAUUACUUUAGCCUUAAUAAUCUAAAUGAAAGUCGUAGUAUUCAUUAAAUCGAGAGCGUGCACAUAGAGAACGUCCAAAUCUAAAUUCAGUAUAGGAAGUUAUGAUUUUUCGAAGUUUCAGCGCAACAGUGCAACACAAAUCGAAUUUUAGAUCGGUCAAUUUUAGCCAAAAUGAUCUAAAUGAGAAUUAAAUAUCUCAUUAAUAGGAGUUCAAUGAUAAAAAGACAGUAAAAAAUGGAGUUUGUAUGUAGAAGUUAUGAAUUUUACACGGUCAUCAACAGUGUGAUCUUCUCAUACUAUUAAAUUUAAGAUCGGUCGAGAAUUAGCCGAUGGAGUAAAAGGAAAGUUGUAGUAAUUGUAAAUACCUACGCGUGGAUAUAAAGAACGUCAAAAACGGAGCUCAUAUGCGAAAGUUAUGAAUUUUUUAAGAUCGGCAGUUUUACCUGCGUCCGGUGUCACGUGUCAGCAUCAGGCGAAGCCUAGGUGCCUACGCAAGCUCACGACAUGAGAGGCAUGUCUCACGAAGUGAGAGGCCCUUGGACAGCCUAUAAAUAGAGCCGAAUUUCACUCAUUUCUUCACACAUUUCCAUUCCAUCCUCUCCCAAACCCCUAAGGCCUCAAUGCCUUUCUCUGUCACUUCCUAGGUGUUAGUAGCAAAGUUGCGGAGCGUCGGAAAGCCCCGGGAAAUAGAGCUUUUGGUUUAGAAUUCCUGCCCACGCAGAGUCUGGUUUCUCGCUAAACCACCUGUAAGUUGAUUUAUGCUUACCGUACUUUAAGUAUAACUUAUUUUUAAGUUCAUUAUCGUUAUUAUGAACCUAUAAACAAUAUUUAUCAGUGAUUACAAGUCGAUAUUGAUUGAUCUACUUACUAGGAUGAUGUCUAGGUUGAAUUUACUGAGGUGUUUAAAGUGGUAUUUCAAAACAGUAUACUUUGUAUACCAAACGGACCCUACCUCCGAUAUGAUCCUACCUGGUUGUUCCUUACUUGAUAAAUCUUGAAGUAGACUUUGAAUUAAUGAUGAAUCCAGACUAAUAAUUAGUCGUAAUAAAUAUCAGACUAAGACUUAGUGAUAAUGAUAUUAGGUUACGUGGAAGGAAAAGACAGUUGCUAGGAGCGAAGUGUUAUCUGAGUUUCGAGUCAUCACUUUAACAAGUGAGUGCAUAGUCCAUUUCAUGAACAUGAUUUUAAGACAAAUAUUAAUUAAAGUAUUAAAUAUAUGUUUAUGUGUGAGAUAUUUGAUAUUGCCUGAAAUACGUGUUAAGAGCAUAUCUAAUAAUAUAUGAUGAUUUAGUACUUACAAAAUAAACCUAAACUAAUUAAGAUGCACUACUAGAAAAAAGGCCUUUAAUGACGCGCAAAAAAUGACACUCACCGAUAGAGGGCGCGCAUUUGUGGGUGCCCUAAAAAAUAGUGUCAGUUUUGCAAAAUUUGAAGGAUAGAAAACACGCAUUUGUGCGUGCCCUAAAAUUAGUGUUAGAAAAGAAAAAAAAGAAAAUGCGGAGGGCGCCUUUUAUAAAACGUGCGUCAUGUAAGUAUGUCGCUUUAUAAAUUUUUAAUGAAACACGCCUUUUAGGCAGGAAAUGAUCGAUUGACAAAAAUCCCCAAAAUUUUGGAGGACCCGCUCAUUCAUUCCUCUCCACUUGCUGAUGACCUUCAUUUUCUCCCCCUCCUUCUCUCUGUAAAACCUAGCAGCCGCCACCACCAGAAACAUGGUUUUAUGUUGGCUUCGUUCUGUGUUGUAAGAACGAGAGUCUGAUCCUCCAUUAAUAGCUAAAGGGGGGAAAUCCCCCAAAAUUUUGAAGUACCCCGCUCACUCCUCUUCACCUCUACCCUACUCCAUCUACAACGACUCCCCAUGUUUACAAACCCUAUAAUUCAAAACGAUUUUCCAUUCCUCACGAGUGCUUUCCAGUCAACGACCUGAUCAGCCUCAUCGGCAACCUCGGUCUCACCUCACCUCGUCAGCGAGCUGAGGCUCACCUCUACACACAUGCGACUACAACUCUUCAAAUCACCUAAGCCCUACCCUUUCUCUCUAUUCACCCGCCUCUUCACCCACGUCCAACGCCUCCAACAAGAAGCCCUAGGGCCUCCGCCUUCACCCACGUUCUCACUGUCGAUCGUGAAUCGGUUUUCAGGUUAUUCCAAGAUUCAACCAACACGGAGGUGGAGGUAGGUUCCGAUUUCGUAUCAAAAGACUUCACCUUCAGGCGGAACAAAAAACUAGGGAUCAAUUCGAUUAAUCAGUAGCAAAAUUAAGACAUAAUCUCAAAACUUGGCAUGGAAAGAGUCUUGAAAUCCACUUCAGGUUCGUUCAUUAAGUUUCUACCCUCAUCGACGCACAAUAGAGGCUGGUUUCGUGGGUUCUUUCACCUUUACACCAACGACGGUGGAGCUAGAGAGAGAGUUUAUGGUGUGCAGUUAAUGCUAUUCAAAUAUGUUAUUUACCAGCCUCAUCCAGGUUUCAGAACCAACUUAUUCUCGAAUAAUCUCUGCUCAGAUCCAAUACCUUCCUUAUUCCUCAUUCAGUAUCCUCAUUCCUCACCUGAUCAGCGAAUCCAAUUCCCCUCCACCUUACUCCAACUCGAUCGGACUCGACUCACUUACUUAUACCCACUGGAACCGAUCAAGUAAGUUUAUCUUACACAAAUAAGACAUAACUAAAAAUAAUGAUGUUGAAGUUGAAGCACAAAGAGGCAGAUGGAAGGGAGAGGAGCAUGAUAGUUACUGCAGGUGAAUGCAGAAGUAUGUAGGUGUUGAUAUCACAUCAAUGGUGACUCUACCAGUACUCAUUUUUGAACCCAUGACAAUGCUACAGAAAAUGGCAGAGAACUCGUUUGAAGCUAAAGAAAGAUGGAUUAAUUCUAGAAUCAGUACCCCCUCCAACAAAAGUCAUCAAUUUAAUAUUUGGAAGAACAUAGUUGGUUCGGUGCUGGAUGAUAUGAAGUGUAUGGAUAUGUAUACAAUUCGAAAGAACCAAAAAUAUUAAUGACAGGAAAAUAGAAUGAAUCCAUGAGCUAUCAGCCUUGUGAUUAUGAAGAGGAACCUGUCCCAAAUACUGAACUCACACAGAUAUUAUUGAAGACCUAUACAGUCCUAGGACCGCAGCAAUGGACUUUGUGAGCGAACUGGUAAGAAAACAUGGAAAAGAGAAGCUUCAAAAGUUCAUAUUAUUUAUUGUGGAGAUUUUUAAAAGUUUGUGCACAAGAAUUGGCUUAAGCUCCUUGAACCGAGUUUCAGCAAGAUCAAAACCAUCCUUCCGGUGUUCCUGCAAUAAAAAAAACAAGUCAAAGAAGAUUUACUGAAAAGAAAAAAAGUAUUAAUGGUGUAAUUAAUGGCUAUUCACUACAGAGCGGGAGCGGAUGACAAGCCUUUGUGGAUGGUGAAAACGGUUCUUCAUGAGCUUGUAAAGCUUCGUGGGACAGUAAUAAAUGGUCAUCUUUCCAUGGUCCCAAUUGACAUGGAACCCCAACCCAUAAUCCUUGACUACAUCGAUCUUAAUCUUCAGACAUUGGCUGCUGCCAGAAUGUUGACCCCUGCUGGCCCUGUUGAUCUUGAAUAAGCAAAGGGGCAAUGAAUUGUAUUUUUUGUAUCUAAUUCGUUUGUAAAUCUUUGUUACAACUUCUAUUGAUUUGUUUUAUCUUUCCAUGGAACGAUUAUUUGUAUGAAAUUAAAUUUAUGCAAUGGAUUCUAUUUUUUGUA